RNAcentral lists this ribosomal RNA (749 nucleotides) under Typhlocharis sp. 1 CA-2016. Its description in RNAcentral is "partial large subunit ribosomal RNA". The stretch from base 342 to 500 matches the Rfam family "Bacterial large subunit ribosomal RNA", at positions 2473 to 2632 of the family's 2925-position model. Lineage: Eukaryota; Metazoa; Arthropoda; Insecta; Coleoptera; Carabidae. The record is from RNAcentral.
UUAAAUGGCCGCAGUAAUUUGACUGUGCAAAGGUAGCAUAAUCAAUAGUUUUUUAAUUGAAAGCUUGUAUGAAGGGUUGGACGAAAUAAUAUCUGUCUUUAUUUAAUAAUUAUUAAAAUUUAAUUUUUAAGUUAAAAAGCUUAGAUAAUUAUAAAAGACGAGAAGACCCUAUAGAGCUUUAUAUAUUUAAAUUUAUAAAUAUUUAAGAUUUAUUAUUUUUAUAGUUUUAAAUAUAUUUUAUUGGGGUAAUAGAAAGAUUUAAUUAAUUCUUAUUUUUAUUUUUAUUUAUUUAUAUUUUUAAUGAUCCAUUAUUAUUGAUUAUAAGAUUAAGUUACCUUAGGGAUAACAGCGUAAUUUUUUUAGAGAGUUCAUAUUGAUAAAAAAGUUUGCGACCUCGAUGUUGGAUUAAAGAUUAAUUUAGGUGCAAAAGUUUAAAUUUUUGGUCUGUUCGACCAUUAAAUCUUUACAUGAUCUGAGUUCAGACCGGUUUAAGCCAGGUCGGUUUCUAUCUUUAUUAAAGUAAAAUAUUUUAGUACGAAAGGACCAAAUAUUAAUUAUAUUAAUUUUAUUUUUGAAUAAUAAUAAUUAUUUUGGCAGAUUAGUGCAAUGAAUUUAGAAUUCUUUUAUGUAAAUUAUAUUUACAAAUAAUACUUGUUUAUAUUAGAUAGAAUUUUUUUAUUUAUUAAUAUUUUAUUGUUAAUUAUUUGUGUAUUAGUAAGUGUAGCUUUUUUAACAUUAUUAGAACGGAA